GGUUAAGCGACUAAGCGUACACGGUGGAUGCCCUGGCAGUCAGAGGCGAUGAAGGACGUGCUAAUCUGCGAAAAGCGCCGGCGAGGUGAUAUGAACCUUUGACCCGGCGAUGUCCGAAUGGGGAAACCCAGUGUGUUCCGACACACUAUCGUUAACUGAAUACAUAGGUUAACGAGGCGAACCGGGGGAACUGAAACAUCUAAGUACCCCGAGGAAAAGAAAUCAACCGAGAUUCCCCCAGUAGCGGCGAGCGAACGGGGAGCAGCCCGGAGUCUGAAUCAGCUUGUGUGUUAGUGGAACGGUCUGGAAAGUCCGACGGUACAGGGUGAUAGUCCCGUACACGAAAAUGCACAGGUUGUGAACUCGAAGAGUAGGGCGGGACACGUGGUAUCCUGUCUGAAUAUGGGGGGACCAUCCUCCAAGGCUAAAUACUCCUGACUGACCGAUAGUGAACCAGUACCGUGAGGGAAAGGCGAAAAGAACCCCGGCGAGGGGAGUGAAAAAGAACCUGAAACCGUGUACGUACAAGCAGUGGGAGCACCUUCGGGUGUGACUGCGUACCUUUUGUAUAAUGGGUCAGCGACUUAUAUUCUGUAGCAAGGUUAACCGUAUAGGGGAGCCGAAGGGAAACCGAGUCUUAACUGGGCGUUAAGUUGCAGGGUAUAGACCCGAAACCCGGUGAUCUAGCCAUGGGCAGGUUGAAGGUUGGGUAACACUAACUGGAGGACCGAACCGACUAAUGUUGAAAAAUUAGCGGAUGACCUGUGGCUGGGGGUGAAAGGCCAAUCAAACCGGGAGAUAGCUGGUUCUCCCCGAAAGCUAUUUAGGUAGCGCCUCGUGAACUCAUCUUCGGGGGUAGAGCACUGUUUCGGCUAGGGGGCCAUCCCGGCUUACCAACCCGAUGCAAACUACGAAUACCGAAGAAUGUUAUCACGGGAGACACACGGCGGGUGCUAACGUCCGUCGUGAAGAGGGAAACAACCCAGACCGCCAGCUAAGGUCCCAAAGUCAUGGUUAAGUGGGAAACGAUGUGGGAAGGCACAGACAGCCAGGAUGUUGGCUUAGAAGCAGCCAUCAUUUAAAGAAAGCGUAAUAGCUCACUGGUCGAGUCGGCCUGCGCGGAAGAUGUAACGGGGCUAAACCAUGCACCGAAGCUGCGGCAGCGACACUAUGUGUUGUUGGGUAGGGGAGCGUUCUGUAAGCCGUUGAAGGUGUGCUGUGAGGCAUGCUGGAGGUAUCAGAAGUGCGAAUGCUGACAUAAGUAACGAUAAAGCGGGUGAAAAGCCCGCUCGCCGGAAGACCAAGGGUUCCUGUCCAACGUUAAUCGGGGCAGGGUGAGUCGACCCCUAAGGCGAGGCCGAAAGGCGUAGUCGAUGGGAAACAGGUUAAUAUUCCUGUACUUGGUGUUACUGCGAAGGGGGGACGGAGAAGGCUAUGUCAGCCGGGCGACGGUUGUCCCGGUUUAAGCAUGUAGGCGGAGGUUCCAGGUAAAUCCGGUACCUUGUUAACGCUGAGGUGUGAUGACGAGGCACUACGGUGCUGAAGUGAUAAAUGCCCUGCUUCCAGGAAAAGCCUCUAAGCAUCAGGUAACACGAAAUCGUACCCCAAACCGACACAGGUGGUCAGGUAGAGAAUACCAAGGCGCUUGAGAGAACUCGGGUGAAGGAACUAGGCAAAAUGGUGCCGUAACUUCGGGAGAAGGCACGCUGAUAUGUAGGUGAAGUCCCUGCGGACGGAGCUGAAAUCAGUCGAAGAUACCAGCUGGCUGCAACUGUUUAUUAAAAACACAGCACUGUGCAAACACGAAAGUGGACGUAUACGGUGUGACGCCUGCCCGGUGCCGGAAGGUUAAUUGAUGGGGUUAGCGGCAACGCGAAGCUCUUGAUCGAAGCCCCGGUAAACGGCGGCCGUAACUAUAACGGUCCUAAGGUAGCGAAAUUCCUUGUCGGGUAAGUUCCGACCUGCACGAAUGGCGUAAUGAUGGCCAGGCUGUCUCCACCCGAGACUCAGUGAAAUUGAACUCGCUGUGAAGAUGCAGUGUACCCGCGGCAAGACGGAAAGACCCCGUGAACCUUUACUAUAGCUUGACACUGAACACUGGUCCUUGAUGUGUAGGAUAGGUGGGAGGCUUUGAAGCGUGGACGCCAGUCUGCGUGGAGCCAUCCUUGAAAUACCACCCUUUAAUGGCUGGUGUUCUAACGUAGACCCGUGAUCCGGGUUGCGGACAGUGUCUGGUGGGUAGUUUGACUGGGGCGGUCUCCUCCCAAAGAGUAACGGAGGAGCACGAAGGUUGGCUAAUCCUGGUCGGACAUCAGGAGGUUAGUGCAAUGGCAUAAGCCAGCUUGACUGCGAGCGUGACGGCGCGAGCAGGUGCGAAAGCAGGUCAUAGUGAUCCGGUGGUUCUGAAUGGAAGGGCCAUCGCUCAACGGAUAAAAGGUACUCCGGGGAUAACAGGCUGAUACCGCCCAAGAGUUCAUAUCGACGGCGGUGUUUGGCACCUCGAUGUCGGCUCAUCACAUCCUGGGGCUGAAGUAGGUCCCAAGGGUAUGGCUGUUCGCCAUUUAAAGUGGUACGCGAGCUGGGUUUAGAACGUCGUGAGACAGUUCGGUCCCUAUCUGCCGUGGGCGCUGGAGAAUUGAGGGGGGCUGCUCCUAGUACGAGAGGACCGGAGUGGACGCAUCACUGGUGUUCGGGUUGUCAUGCCAAUGGCACUGCCCGGUAGCUAAAUGCGGAAGAGAUAAGUGCUGAAAGCAUCUAAGCACGAAACUUGCCCCGAGAUGAGUUCUCCCUGAGACCUUGAGUCUCCUGAAGGAACGUUGAAGACGACGACGUUGAUAGGUCGGGUGUGUAAGCGCAGCGAUGCGUUGAGCUAACCGAUACUAAUGAACCGUGAGGCUUAACCUU
RNAcentral lists this ribosomal RNA (2904 nucleotides) under Enterobacter hormaechei. RNAcentral's name for it is "23S ribosomal RNA". It matches the Rfam family "Bacterial large subunit ribosomal RNA". The record is from RNAcentral. Lineage: Bacteria; Pseudomonadati; Pseudomonadota; Gammaproteobacteria; Enterobacterales; Enterobacteriaceae.